RNAcentral lists this small nucleolar RNA (153 nucleotides) under Aspergillus aculeatus ATCC 16872. The record is from RNAcentral. Lineage: Eukaryota; Fungi; Ascomycota; Eurotiomycetes; Eurotiales; Aspergillaceae.
UUUCGGGUUGAUAACUAGGCGGUCUGUUUCGCAAAUCACACAACGCUCGCCCUUUAAGUGCCCGAUAUAUUGAAGCCGGCGAGGAUCUUACAAGUUUCCGAAACUCAUUUUCAUUUCUGUGUUUGGUCUAACCUUUAAAUCCGCGCCACAAAC